Molecule: ribosomal RNA, 440 nt
Filed under: uncultured bacterium
Lineage: Bacteria
Description: partial 16S ribosomal RNA
Rfam family: Bacterial small subunit ribosomal RNA
Source: RNAcentral
CCUACGGGGGGCAGCAGUGGGGGAUAUUGCACAAUGGGGGGAACCCUGAUGCAGCGACGCCGCGUGGGUGAAGAAGCGCCUCGGCGCGUAAAGCUCUGUCAGCAGGGAAGAAAAUGACGGUACCUGAAGAAGAAGCCCCGGCGAACUACGUGCCAGCAGCCGCGGUAAUACGUAGGGGGCAAGCGGUAUCCGGAUUUACUGGGUGUAAAGGGGGCGCAGACGGCGAUGCAAGCCAGGAGUGAAAGCCCGGGGCCCAACCCCGGGACUGCUCUUGGAACUGCGUGGCUAGAGUGCAGGAGGGGCAGGCGGAAUUCCUGGUGUAGCGGUGAAAUGCGUAGAUAUCAGGAGGAACACCGGUGGCGAAGGCGGCCUGCUGGACUGCAACUGACGUUGAGGCCCGAAAGCGUGGGGAGCAAACAGGAUUAGAUACCCGGGUAGUC